This 1002-nucleotide ribosomal RNA is filed under the name Kareniaceae sp. IFR11-001. RNAcentral describes it as "LSU rRNA". It matches the Rfam family "Eukaryotic large subunit ribosomal RNA", at positions 1 to 910 of the family's 3401-position model. The record is from RNAcentral. Lineage: Eukaryota; Dinophyceae; Gymnodiniales; Kareniaceae.
CAAGACAUGAAGUUAGGUCAGCAAACCCGCUGAAUUUAAGCAUAUAAGUAAGCGGAGGAUAAGAAACUAAAUAGGAUUCCCUCAGUAAUGGCGAAUGAACAGGGAUGAGCUCAGCAUGGAAAUUGGGGCCUCUGGCCUUGAAUUGUAGUCUGGAGAUGCAUUGCCAACGGAAGCGCAGAUGUAAGCCUCUUGGAAAAGAGCAUCAAUGAGGGUGAGAGUCCCGUUUGUCAUCUGCAGUCCUCCGUGCACGGCGUGCGUUCUAAGAGUCGCGUUCCUCGGGAUUGGAGCGUAAAUUGGGUGGUAAAUUUCAUCUAAAGCUAAAUAUUGGUUCGAGACCGAUAGCAAACAAGUACCAUGAGGGAAAGGUGAAAAGGACUUUGAAAAGAGAGUUAAAAGUGCCUGAAAUUGCUGAAAGGGAAGCGAAUGGAACCAGUGUUUCUUGGUAAGAUUGCUGCGUGCUAAUGUGAUGGCUUGUCGUUUCAACGCAAGUGUUGCGACGGGUUUUGAUCUGGACGUGCGUGGUGUUUCUUACCUUGUGUGUCAACGUCGGUUCGGACUUGAGGAAAACUCCAGGGACAUGGUAAUUCACCUGCGGUGAAUGAAUGUGCUUGGCAGAACUCAUUUCUUGACUGAUUCCUGUAUGUCUGGUCGCAGUGUUUUCACUGCCGUGGCCUCUUGUCUCUCAUGAUUCAUAGGGCUUGGCGUGUGUGGCACUUCCCUGACAUAAGUACGAUGACAAAAUGGUUUUAUUCGACCCGUCUUGAAACACGGACCAAGGAGUCUAACAUAUGUGCAAGUUCACGGGUGUUAAACCUGAUUGCGCAAUGAAAGUGACUGCUGGGAUUUCUGCACCAGCAACCGACCAAUCAAUUGUGAGAGGUUUGAGUAUGAGCAUAUCUGUUAGGACCCGAAAGAUGGUGAACUAUGCCUGAGAAGGGCGAAGUCAGGGGAAACUCUGAUGGAGGCUCGUAGCGAUACUGACGUGCAAAUCGUUCGUCAUAC